Long non-coding RNA from Pan troglodytes (chimpanzee), 316 nucleotides. RefSeq lists it as uncharacterized. The transcript is spliced from 2 exons. Lineage: Eukaryota; Metazoa; Chordata; Mammalia; Primates; Hominidae. The record is from RefSeq and is a predicted model, not a curated record.
AUGCAACGGGCACGGCCAAAGCGGCUGAAUCCACGCACUGCGUGGCUGCAGCGACGCGACGCGCAAGUUGCCAGCGAUUCUUUGUUCUUUUUCUUCCGAGGCCAAGAUCGAUUUGCUCCCCCGCCCCUCCCUUCUUGGACCGUGCUUGUUAUUGAGCCUGUAAACUACAUUUCCCAAGAUGCCACGCGCACGAUGGCGCCCAUUCAUUUUUCGCGUGCCUGGAAGCGAAAUUACCACUCGGGGCAUAAACGUGACAGGGGCUGAGGUGGAAGGAUCGCUUGAGUCCAGGACUUCAAGACCAGCCUGGGCAAUAUGG